ACCACCACCGGCGAACCAGUCCCCGCGGAAGCGCCGCUCGCGGCGCGCGGCCCGGGGGACGACCCGGGGACGCGCGUCCCGGCGAGCUACGAACAACCCUCUGGGCGCGGCGAGCGCCAAGGAAUCGAAGCGGAAAGGGCGGCCGCCCCGCCCGGUGCGCGCACGCGCCGAAAGGGGAUGCGGCACCGCGGCCGGGGAUCCGCCGCCCGUCUGUGAAGUCUCUUAGACGACUCUCGGCAACGGAUAUCUCGGCUCUCGCAUCGAUGAAGAACGUAGCGAAAUGCGAUACUUGGUGUGAAUUGCAGAAUCCCGUGAACCAUCGAGUCUUUGAACGCAAGUUGCGCCCGAGGCCACUCGGCCGAGGGCACGCCUGCCUGGGCGUCACGCCACCCAUCGCCCCCCCGCGGCAUUCCCAUGCCCCGCCGGGGAGCGGAGACUGGCCGUCCGUGCCCGAGGGAUCGGCGCGCGGUCGGCGGAAAAGGAAGGCACCGUGCGGCGCGACACGGCGUGUGGGGGUUGAGAGGCGAUCCGUCGCCGAUCGUACGUCGCGCCCGCAUUCCGCCGCGCGGUGCGGCCCGUGGGACCAGACUCCGCCCGCUGCCGCGGGCGCUCGGACCGCGACCCCAGG
RNAcentral lists this ribosomal RNA (628 nucleotides) under Ocotea tristis. RNAcentral describes it as "eukaryotic LSU rRNA". The stretch from base 229 to 384 matches the Rfam family "5.8S ribosomal RNA". Lineage: Eukaryota; Viridiplantae; Streptophyta; Magnoliopsida; Laurales; Lauraceae. The record is from RNAcentral.